GACGAACGCUGGCGGCGUGCUUAACACAUGCAAGUCGAACGGAAAGGCCCUGCUUUUGUGGGGUGCUCGAGUGGCGAACGGGUGAGUAACACGUGAGUAACCUGCCCUUGACUUUGGGAUAACUUCAGGAAACUGGGGCUAAUACCGGAUAUGAGCUCCUGCUGCAUGGUGGGGGUUGGAAAGUUUCGGCGGUUGGGGAUGGACUCGCGGCUUAUCAGCUUGUUGGUGGGGUAGUGGCUUACCAAGGCUUUGACGGGUAGCCGGCCUGAGAGGGUGACCGGCCACAUUGCGACUGAGAUACGGCCCAGACUCCUACGGGAGGCAGCAGUGGGGAGUAUUGCAGAAUGGGCGGAAGCCUGAUGCAGCAACGCCGCGUGCGGGAUGACGGCCUUCGGGUUGUAAACCGCUUUCGCCUGUGACGAAGCGGGAGUGACGGUAAUGGGUAAAGAAGCACCGGCUAACUACGUG
Molecule: ribosomal RNA, 468 nt
Filed under: uncultured bacterium
Lineage: Bacteria
Description: partial 16S ribosomal RNA
Rfam family: Bacterial small subunit ribosomal RNA
Source: RNAcentral